Molecule: transfer RNA, 79 nt
Filed under: Polaribacter sp.
Lineage: Bacteria; Pseudomonadati; Bacteroidota; Flavobacteriia; Flavobacteriales; Flavobacteriaceae
Description: tRNA-Ala
Rfam family: tRNA
About the family: Transfer RNA (tRNA) molecules are approximately 80 nucleotides in length. Their secondary structure includes four short double-helical elements and three loops (D, anti-codon, and T loops).
Source: RNAcentral
GAAGAUUCAAUAUCAGUAGAUAAUAGAUAGAACUUGACUGGCAGUCAAGAGGUCGUGGGUUCGAGUCCCAUCUUCUCCA